Non-coding RNA from Paramisgurnus dabryanus, 1420 nucleotides. The record is from RefSeq and is a predicted model, not a curated record. Lineage: Eukaryota; Metazoa; Chordata; Actinopteri; Cypriniformes; Cobitidae.
UCAUCCAUUGCGUGUUAUUAACUGUCAAUAUAUUCAGCUGGGAUAAGAGAAUUUUGCAUUGGAUAAAUAUAAAUGUAAUCAUUCAAACCUCUAGAGGCAUGUAAAAAAAAUGAUUAUUGCUCUCAUUGAGCACAUCAAUAUGAUUAUUUUAAUUCUCCAGUUAAUAUUUUGAAGUUCACUUUAAUCCAUAUAAAAUACAUAUUACAAAAAAAUAUGCACCCCCAAAAAGUAACCAGGUGAUGCUUUGUUAUUGUAAUUUUGUUACCUUGUGUCAGAUACUAUGCAUUUAAGAAUGUAUUACAUUUGUUUUGGUUCAGAGUAGUAUUAUUAAUGAAUUAGACUAUUAAUAAUAAUAAUAAUAAUAAUAAUUAUUAUUAUUAGUAUAUAUAUAUAUAUAUAUAUAUUAUUAAUACAAUUAAAUCUUAGUGAUGACAGCAAUUUCUGAUUCAUUUAUCAAGUUUGUGUCCUUUUUUUUGCUGCUUUGAGAAAAUUUUAAAUGCUUCGUCAUUUGUAAGUCACUUCGGAUAAAAGCAUGUGCUAAAUGAAUAAACGUAAUUUAAUUUAAUGUUGGUAAUUGUAUGAGAGGAGCUUAUUCUCAGGUAAGGUCACUUUGUGCUAAUGGUAUUAGUCUAGCUUUGUCAUGAUCCUCUGGUAUAAUACAGCCCUUUAUGUAUCAAUACGAUACUGCAAAUGCCUAAAGUGUUUUUUUUUUCACAGUGUGACCCACUACAUCAUGUAUUCCUUGUUAUAGCUGUCAAUUCACAGUGAUAGUAAUGACCCAAUCACUUGGCCAAGUGCUUUCUGUGAUCCAGACCAGGGUGCAGCAUGAGUUCACAAACAUGCAUCAAAAGCCAGAGACCCUGACAAUGCAUCAAAAACUUCAAACAGCAUCAUAAAUCAAUUACUCAGUAUAUUUCAAAGGGGUCAGUCUUAGCCCAUCAGACCAUAAACCAGCAGGAAUGUCUUCACGAUGGAAUAUUUUAGUAUGAUGUACACACAGCAGAGCACAAAUUUGCAUCUGAUAGAAAGCAUAGAUAAAACAGUGUAAAUGGAUCUUGUUGACCCCUCUAUUCAAUGCUUAACAUGAUGCAUUUAUAUACAUAGCAUGUUGUCGUGAUCUUGUGUUCGGUAGGUGGAGGCUGUGGUGUUGGAGAUGCAGGACCCUAAGAGUGGAGUGAAAUCUCAAACCCAGAGGCUUGUCAUCACCACCAUCCCACAUGCCAUAACAGGAGAAGACAUUGUUGCUUGGCUUGCUAAUCGAUUUAGAAUAGACGCUCUGGCAAGUCUGUCUUAUUGAGAAAAAGGAUGAUGGAGACGUCGGCGAAGACACGAUGGUUGACGAUCGUCUCGAAGAUGUUGAGCGACUCAGAAAGCCUGUUGGUCUGCCGAUCCUCCAUAAGCACCUGAUCGUACUCGCUGG